Molecule: small nucleolar RNA, 98 nt
Organism: Camellia sinensis
Lineage: Eukaryota; Viridiplantae; Streptophyta; Magnoliopsida; Ericales; Theaceae
Product: small nucleolar RNA Z157/R69/R10
Source: RefSeq, a predicted model, not a curated record
GUGUGUGCGGUGAUGAGUAUAUUUUGUGGACUAGAGUUUCUGAUCUGGGUUUGGAUCCCAGAAUCUGACGACUAACCCUUGGCUGUCUGAGCACACUU